CGUGUACGCGAAAACGACGCUGACCUUAUGUAUGUUUUAUCGAGUAGGACGGGGCACGAGAAACCCUGUUUGAAUCUGGCUGGACCACCAGCCAAGGCUAAAUAUAAUAUACGAUCGAUAGUGAACUAGUACAGCGAUGGAAAGGUGAAAAGAACCCCGGGAGGGGAGUGAAAUAGAUCCUGAAAUUUAGUGCCUACAAGGAGUCGGAGCCGGCUUGUCCGGUGACGGCGUGCUUUUUGUAGAACGAUCCAGCGAGUUAAUUUCGUGCGCAAGGUUAAGUUAGUUAACGGAGCCACAGUGAAAGCGAGCCUGAAUAGGGCGUUUAGUGUACGGAAUUAGACCCGAAACCGGGUGACCUAACCAUGAGCAGGUUGAAGCUACUGUAACAGGUAGUGAAGGACCGAACCAGGAUACGCAGCAAAGUGUUUGGAUGACUUGUGGUUAGCGGUGAAAUGCCAAUCGAACUCGGAGAUAGCUGGUUCUCCUCGAAAUAGCUUUAGGGCUAGCGUCAUGUUAGUAAUGUAUGGGGGUAGAGCUCUGUAAAGGAUUGGGGCGGGCAACUGUACCCACCCUUAACAAACUACGAAUACCGUAUAUGUAAUCAUGGCAGUUAGAACAUCGGUGCUAAGAUCGGUGCUCAAAAGGGAAACAGCCCAGACCAUCAUCUAAGGUCCCUAAAUAUACAUUAAGUGGGAAACAAGGUGAAAUUUCUUAAACAGCGAGGAUGUUGGCUUAGAAGCAGCCAUUCAUUUAAAGAGUGCGUAACAGCUCACUCGUCAAGAGAUUUUGCGUGGAAAAUGUAACGGGGCUAAAUGUAUUACCGAAGAUAUGGAUUAUUACAUUAGUAAUAGUGGUAGAGGAGCGUUCCUAUCAGCAGUGAAGCAGUAUUGAAAAGUAUUGUGGAGCGGUAGGAAGUGAGAAUGCUGGAAUGAGUAACCAUAAGAGAGGUGAGAAUCCUCUCGGCCGUAAGAGCAAGGUUUCCUGAGCUAUGGUAAUCAUCUCAGGGUUAGUCGGGCCUAAGCCGAGGCGCAGAGCGUAGGCGAUGGACAUCAGGUUAAUAUUCCUGAACCGGUUAAGUUUUGUACACUGUUCACGGGGAAGUAAUCGAAGCGGAUUCAUGGUUUAUCCGUCCAACCGAGCGGGAACGCAAAGGGAGUGAAAGUGAUUCUUCGGAGUCGCGAUUUUGGUGAAAGCCCUGGCUAGAAAAGCAGGUGUACGCGUGGACUUAGCCGCCCGUACCGCAAACCAACACAGGUGCUCGAGUCGAGUAGACUCAGGCUUACGAGCGAACCUUCGCUAAGGAACUCGGCAAUACAGCGACCGUAACUUCGGGAUAAGGUCUGCCCCCACUUCGGUGGAUAUCAGCCGCGUUCACUCAGUGAAUAUAUAGGUUAAAGAGUACAUUUUUAAUCACAAAACGAAUUUUCUGAGAUAGAGCAAAUGAAUUGUUCUUUUGAACGCGAAUCUCUGACAUCUAACGAUGUGGGGGCCGCAGCAAAAGAGCCCACGGAACUGUUUAUCAAAAACACAGGUCUCUGCUAACACGAAAGUGGAUGUAUAGGGGCUGACUCCUGCCCAAUGCUGGAAGGUUAAGGGGAGCGCUUCACGGUGCGAACUGAAGCCCUAGUCAAUGGCGGCGGUAACUAUAACCGUCCUAAGGUAGCGAAAUUCCUUGUCAGGUAAGUUCUGACCCGCACGAAUGGAGUAAUCAUGUGGGCACUGUCUCAGCGAAGGACUCGGUGAAAGUGCAUUGGCGGUAAAGAUGCCGUCUGUCCGUACCAGGACGAAAAGACCCCAUGGAGCUUUACUACAGCUUUACAUUGAAUACGGUUUCAACAUGUGUAGCAUAGGUGGGAGAUAUUGAAGCAGAUACGCCAGUAUUUGUGGAGUCACCAAGUGAAAUACCACCCUUGUUGUGAUUGUGUUCUCACGCUGACCGUUAUCCGGUUAGCGGACCGUGUAUGGUGGGUAGUUUAACUGGGGCGGUUGCCUCCUAAAGAGUAGCGGAGGCGUUCAAAGGUUGGCUAACUUCGGAUGGAAAUCGAAGUGAUAGUGUAUGCGCAUAAGCCAGCUUGACUGUGAGGAGUACAUUCCAAUCAGAGACGAAAGUCGGAGCAAGUGAUCCGCUGUACGUACAUUUGUACAUGAAUGUGGGAUCGACAGCGCAAACGGAUAAAAGUUACCCUGGGGAUAACAGGCUUAUAGCGCCCAAUAGUUCACAUAGACGGCGCUGUUUGGCACCUCGAUGUCGGCUCAUCACAUCCUGGAGGGGGAGCACCUUCCAAGGGUUCGGCUGUUCGCCGAUUAAAGUGGUACGCGAGCUGGGUUCAGAACGUCGUGAGACAGUUCGGUUUAUAUCCGG
This 2362-nucleotide ribosomal RNA is filed under the name human oral metagenome. RNAcentral describes it as "bacterial LSU rRNA". It matches the Rfam family "Bacterial large subunit ribosomal RNA", at positions 372 to 2645 of the family's 2925-position model. The record is from RNAcentral.